CCUACGGGAGGCAGCAGUGGGGAAUAUUGCACAAUGGGGGAAACCCUGAUCCAGCGACGCCGCGUGAGUGAAGAAGUAUCCCGGUACGUAAAGCCCUAUCAGCCGGGGAGCUAAUGCCGGUACCUGACCAAGGAGCCCCGUAUAACUACGUGCCAGCAGCUGCGGGAAUACGUAGGCGGCAAGCGUUAUCCGGAUUUACUGGGUGUUAAGGGAGCGUAGGCGGCAGCACAAGUCUGGAGUGAAAUUCCGGGGCUUAACCCCGGAACUGCUGUGGAAACUGGGAGGCUGGAGUGCAGGAGGGGUAAGCGGAAUGCCGAGUGUAGCGGUGAAAUGCGUAGAUAUUAGGAGGAACACCGGUGGCGAAGGCGGCAUACUGGCCUGUAACUGACGCUGAGGCACGAAAGCGUGGGGAGCAAACAGGAUUAGAUACCCCGGUAGUC
RNAcentral lists this ribosomal RNA (440 nucleotides) under uncultured bacterium. Its description in RNAcentral is "partial 16S ribosomal RNA". It matches the Rfam family "Bacterial small subunit ribosomal RNA", at positions 338 to 795 of the family's 1533-position model. The record is from RNAcentral.